RNAcentral lists this transfer RNA (65 nucleotides) under Ctenochauliodes sagittiformis. Its description in RNAcentral is "tRNA-Phe". Lineage: Eukaryota; Metazoa; Arthropoda; Insecta; Megaloptera; Corydalidae. The record is from RNAcentral.
AUUUAAAUAGCUUAUAAAAAGAGUAUAACAUUGAAGCUGUUAAGGAGAUAUAUUAUCUUUAAAUA